RNAcentral lists this long non-coding RNA (625 nucleotides) under Homo sapiens (human). RNAcentral's name for it is "HSALNT0407632". Lineage: Eukaryota; Metazoa; Chordata; Mammalia; Primates; Hominidae. The record is from RNAcentral.
GGGCGAGGAGCUGCUGUGACAGCGAAGGGGGAUUGAAGGGAGCACCUUCUCGUCGCCGCCGCUGCUGCUCCACGUCAAGUUCUCCUCCGGCGCGGGCUCACGCUCUUGUAAUGGCUCCAGCUUCAUCUCCUCGGCUUCACGUCUCGAAGACGCCUUCGUAGCCCCCGCCGCCGCCUCCUCCAUUUUCCCCGCCUUCUCAACCGCCUCCUCAGGAGAGGCUCCUCCCCCACCUCCGGAGAUCCAGCGGACCCCAGAGCCGGAGGGCAAAGAAGUUUCUCGAACCUGGGCCAUCAGAUCACUCCCCGACCUGAGGAGCAAGGCGUCUGGAAAACAGCUGCGACUGUAGAUGAAAGGAGACAGAGACUUCUGUGAAUGAUCUGCCCAGCGUCAUGGCCGCGGGCUGGUCACAAGGGGGCCGCCCCCUGGCCCCUCCCCUCUCGACGUGCGGCCCCCAACCCCGGAUUCUGCCCUCCUGCAGUGAUGAAUGGCACCGCUGUCCCGCGCAGGCAGGCAAACCUCUUCCUGAAACAGACUCUGCUGGAGGCAACAGCAGCAACAGAUUCUACAGAAAGCCCCUGAAAUGGAGGCUCAGGCCUCACCUAGCUCCAGGCCCGCACUCCACAGA